CGAAAUUUCUGCGAGCAGGACUUGGAGAAAGUUAAGAUCCAGUACUUACAGAUGCAGCGGAGGCGCUUUUUGUAGACGCCCCAGAUGAACUCCCCGCAUAGAUCGCACCAGAUGGGAUGAAGGCAAUGGCAGGAAAAAUAAUGUCAAAGAUUUUUAUUUACAUCGUGAAACUAUUACCUACCUUGUGAAAAAAUAAUGUUUCCAAGAAAUUAAUAAUUGAAGCUUCCUGUCGCAGCUGAAUAAGAGAGACAACAGAGAGAAAUCAGAAAUUAAUACAAAUAUUACCAUUCUCAGAAAACAAAGUAAUAUGGAAUCAGAAAUUAAAAAUAUUGCAUUUGUGUGGCCUCUUGAGAUAAAUGCUACCAGGAAACAUAGAACUAAAAACAGCAAAAGAAUUAGACAACCUAAUAAAUUGUAGCUGAACACAAUAUGAAUAAUUAUUUCUCCUUCCUCUUCUUUGUCAAAGUGUGAGGAAGAAUUAAGAACUGUUCCCUUGUUGUGAGUUUGUGGAAUCCAAAAUAGACUACACUGAAUGUUUCCUACUUUGUAUAAAACAAGCCAACCUGUAUUAUAUACUGAAAUCCAAAAUGUAAACUGAUUUUCUAUUAUCUGAAGAGGUGCUCUCCUCUUUCUCACAGCUUUUGUUUUGACAACAUUAUCUUUUAUAUAAAUUUACUGAAAAUAAUCUGUAACAUAAUGCAGAACUGUUUGUUUGUAAGGUUCACAUUCUUCCUUUGAGAAACUCAGCAGGAGUUAUAUUGCACUCCUUCCUCUAUUUUUUCACAGUAAAAAUUCUAUGAUAGGUUGAGAAAAAACAAGAGAGGCUGAAAGUCAAUGAACUUCCACAACUAAGACUGCCCUAUGCCUUGACCCUCACUAGCUUUUACAAAAAAAUAAGAUAUACAUUAUUACUCUAACAAAUAAAUAUUAGAAGCAUCAUUUGGCAAGUAGAUCUUACAGGAAGCUUUGAAAUGUUCUAAUAGCAAGUAUUAUAUAAAGGCUGAUUCAAAGCAUUUUUCAUACAUACCACUAAAUACAAAGGAAAUGUGCUUUUUGGUUUGAAAUCCUCCAAUUUGCAUAGUAUAGGGAAGAUUUUUUGCUUCCAAAUGGCCACAGUAAUUAAUUCUUCAAUGAGAGUUGGGAUCUAUACAGAAUGGAUAAAUUAAAUAUAUUGUUUGCAAGGUUGAGAUCAUAAAUAACAGGAAACAUAUUAUGUAGACUUGGGAAAGUUCUGUCUGAUGCCUGAAUUCAUGUAGACAAAUUAAAUCCAAGCAGAAGGCUUUCUUAUUUUACUUCUAUUUCUGUAUUCAGAAAGACAAGAAAUAUUAUUUGUAACAAUAAUGUGAACAUAUUUUGCUGUGUAAGGAUUACGUAUCAGUAUCUUGCUCAUGCUCUCAUUCUAUGCAUGUCCUUAGUAGGUUUGCUUAGUCAUGACGUUUCUUCCAGUAGGGUUAUAGUUUAUGUAUACAGUCAAAACCAUUCAUUCCAGAUGAAUUAUUUCCUCAUAAUUUAACCAAAGGGCUGUAGUUAAAAAUUAGGAAAUUUACUAAGUGCUAAUGAAGCAUAUUGCCCCAAAGGUGCUUUUUCAAAAGGCAACUGGACUUUGUUUUUCCUUGAAGAUGUUUCGCUUCUCAUCAGUUCAGAACUGAGGAAGCUUCUUGGAUGAGAAGCAGAGCAUCUUCAAAGGAAAACAAAGUCCAAUUGCCUAUUGAAAAAAACACCUUUGGGACAACAUGACCUGGAUGACUGAGAAUCUCCAUAGACAAAUGAAGCAUAUUGUUUCUAUCCUACCAAUUAAUUUGUAUAACUAGAACAAAGGUAUCCUUCCGAGGUCGGUAAAAUGAGGACCCAGCUUGUUGGGGACAAUAUGCUGACAUUGUAAACCCCUUAGAGAGGGCUGUAAAACAUUGUGAAGCGGUAUAUAAGUCUAAGUGCUAUUGCUGUAUAUGUUUAUAUGAUUACAUACAGUAAGAUUAAUUUGAUUCAGAAAGUAAUUGUAUAAAGCUAUGCAUUUCUAAAUAUAAAUACUGCCAAACACAUAAAUAAUAAAAGAGAUUUUGAUCCAGA
This is a long non-coding RNA of Ahaetulla prasina, 2067 nucleotides long. RefSeq lists it as uncharacterized. The transcript is spliced from 3 exons. NCBI's taxonomy places the organism in Eukaryota, Metazoa, Chordata, Lepidosauria, Squamata, Colubridae. The record is from RefSeq and is a predicted model, not a curated record.